UCCGGUUGAUCCUGCCAGAGGCCGCUGCUAUCCGGCUGGGACUAAGCCAUGCUAGUCUAGGGGCUUGUACUCCUUCGGGGGUGCAAGCACCGGCGGACGGCUCAGUAACACGUGGACAACCUGCCCUCGGGUGGGGGAUAACCCCGGGAAACUGGGGCUAAUCCCCCAUAGGUGAUGGGUGCUGGAAUGCCCCAUCUCCGAAAGCGCUUAGCGCCCGAGGAUGGGUCUGCGGCGGAUUAGGUAGUUGGUGGGGUAACGGCCCACCAAGCCUAAGAUCCGUACGGGCUGUGGGAGCAGGAGCCCGGAGAUGGACCCUGAGACAAGGGUCCAGGCCCUACGGGGCGCAGCAGGCGCGAAACCUCCGCAAUGCGGGAAACCGCGACGGGGUUAGCCGGAGUGCCCGUGCAUUGCACGGGCUGUCGGGGUGCCUAAACAGCACCCCAUAGCAAGGGCCGGGCAAGGCCGGUGGCAGCCGCCGCGGUAAGACCGGCGGCCCGAGUGGCGGCCACUCUUAUUGGGCCUAAAGCGUCCGUAGCCGGCCCAGUAAGUCCCCCGGGAAAUCUGGUCGCUUAACGAUCAGACUUCCGGGGGAUACUGCUGGGCUAGGGAC
Molecule: ribosomal RNA, 610 nt
Filed under: uncultured archaeon
Lineage: Archaea
Description: bacterial SSU rRNA
Rfam family: Archaeal small subunit ribosomal RNA
Source: RNAcentral